Bolinopsis microptera is the source of this 510-nucleotide long non-coding RNA. RefSeq lists it as uncharacterized. Lineage: Eukaryota; Metazoa; Ctenophora; Tentaculata; Lobata; Bolinopsidae. The transcript has 3 exons. The record is from RefSeq and is a predicted model, not a curated record.
GUGGCUGUUGAAGCUGGUAAGAAGUUCUACACAGUUAAAGAGGGAGGAGAUUGUUACUAUAAAUGUUGAGAUUAACGUUGUACCAACACCAGCUGCGGAUAAGAUUACCUGGGUUAAAGUGCCCAACAAGAAGUUGAACGGAGACAGAUACUCGCUGAGCGAGGACAAGACAUCACUAACUAUCACGGGAGUUACUGCCAAGGAGGCUGGAACAUACAGAGUGUCGGUGAAGUUCGAAGUGGGUGGUAAGAAGUUCAACAAAUCCUCAGAACGUUAUUGUUCAACUAGAAGAAGAGGAGGAGGAGGAAGAAUCCGGCCUUGUCAUGUAAACAUUUUUAUGGACAUUUCUGAACAUUUGACACAUUUGGCAGGAGAUUUAAACACUGUUUUUAAAAUAUCAUAUUUAGAUACAUAUGCAAUUGAACUUUUAGAUUAUUUUUAGACAAGCAUUUACAUAAAUUUAUUUUCGUUGUGUUAAGAUCAAUUCUCACUCAUUUUCAAAAGCAAUUC